This 66-nucleotide transfer RNA is filed under the name Rybaxis sp. 1 EF-2015. Its description in RNAcentral is "tRNA-Asn". Lineage: Eukaryota; Metazoa; Arthropoda; Insecta; Coleoptera; Staphylinidae. The record is from RNAcentral.
UUAAUUGAAACCAAAAAGAGGUAAUUCAUUGUUAAUGAUAAAAUUGAAUUUAUAAUUCCAAUUAAA